Molecule: ribosomal RNA, 537 nt
Filed under: Triticum aestivum (bread wheat)
Lineage: Eukaryota; Viridiplantae; Streptophyta; Magnoliopsida; Poales; Poaceae
Description: partial small subunit ribosomal RNA
Source: RNAcentral
CUUGCGGUUGAUGCCCUUGCUGGCAUCCUUGAUAAGGCCCUGCGGGCCGGCCACAUAAAGGGGGUGGUUAGUCAUCCCAUCCCCGGAGGGGGUGUCACCCACUUGCAAUAUGCGGAUGAUACCAUGAUCAUGGUGGAGGGGUCUGACUUGGACAUUGUUAAUCUUAAGUUCCUUUUACUCUGCUUCAAGGAAAUGUCUGGACUUAAGAUUAAUUUUGACAAGAGUGAGGUUGUGAUCCUAGGCUACUCGGAGCCUGAGCGACAAUGGAUUGUGGACAACCUCACCUGUAGGCUGGCGUAUUUCCCAUUAUCUUACUUGGGGAUGCCUAUGUCAGAGUCUAGUCCUGGUGAGUGUUUAUGAUCCGCUAGUGGGACGAGUAGCAUCCGCACGGAGCCCUGGUGCGGGAGAUUCACAUCUAAAGGAAGCAAAACGGUCCUUAUUAGCUCCAACAUUGCUAGCCUCCCCAUGUAUAUGAUGGGGAUGUACAUAUUACAUGAAGGUGUGCAUGGCUCCUUUGACAAGGAGCUGGCUAGGUGA